AACGAACGCUGGCGGCAUGCCUAACACAUGCAAGUCGAACGAGACCUUCGGGUCUAGUGGCGCACGGGUGCGUAACACGUGGGAAUCUGCCCUUUGCUUUGGAAUAACAGUUAGAAAUGACUGCUAAUACCGGAUGAUGUCGAAAGACCAAAGAUUUAUCGGCAAAGGAUGAGCCCGCGUAGGAUUAGGUAGUUGGUGGGGUAAAGGCCUACCAAGCCGACGAUCCUUAGCUGGUCUGAGAGGAUGAUCAGCCACACUGGGACUGAGACACGGCCCAGACUCCUACGGGAGGCAGCAGUGGGGAAUAUUGGACAAUGGGCGAAAGCCUGAUCCAGCAAUGCUGCGUGAGUGAUGAAGGCCUUAGGGUUGUAAAGCUCUUUUACCAGGGAUGAUAAUGACAGUACCUGGAGAAUAAGCUCCGGCUAACUCCGUG
This 433-nucleotide ribosomal RNA is filed under the name uncultured bacterium. RNAcentral's name for it is "partial 16S ribosomal RNA". It matches the Rfam family "Bacterial small subunit ribosomal RNA", at positions 29 to 507 of the family's 1533-position model. The record is from RNAcentral.